UGCGCCCAGCCGCCCCGGCACGGCACGGGCGGCGCCGAGCGGCCCCGCGGGGAAGGAGGCAGAAGUGGGGGGGGACGGGACCGGCCACGACCCCCCCCCCCACCGCCCUCACCGGGGUCCCGUCUCCCCGCCAUGCCCGUCGGUGCCUGUCAGCCGCCAGCGGGGAGAGGCGUCCCCCGGCGCCGCCGUCCUGCCCGCCUCUGCCCACCUCUCGGCGUUACGGCACGUCUAAAGCGGGGCCGGCGGGGCCGUUUGCCGGUAAAACGGCUUUCGUGAGGGAAAAAUUAGUAAUAAUAAUAAAAAAGCCCUUCGCCCGUCGAGGAAACCGGGCACCGGGAAGCGGCGGGGCGGUGGAGGAGCCGGAGUGACUUCGCCAAAUGAAGACCGAUCUCUCGUAUCGCUGCGUUUUGCUCCGUGCUGCGCUUUAGAAACGUAAAUAGAUGACAUCAGGUCUGUAAAUCCACCGUGCAGACGGGGAUAGCACCUCAAAAGAAGGCAAGCUGCAGCCCCAAUGAAUGACAAGAGUUUCCUUCUCAGCCACGGACCUGAGCUUCUCAGCUGAGCAGCUGAAGUAAGAGUUUGGAGUGAGUCCUGAGAAGGGAAGUUAGUUAUGACUUCACCCGUGUGAGCAGGAGUCUAGCAAACUGUCAAAAAAGGAAGUAAGACUCUAACAGCUGUUCAAGGCAAGUUCAGAAACAAAGGAGAUUUGUAACCACAACACUUAUUUCAUGCAGACUUUCUACAGAGUGAAAAAGAAAUAUGCCUCCUUCAGAAAUGUUUUGCAAUGCCCACUUGUGUUACUGCUGAGCCUACGAGGGGAUGUGCAUAGGGUGAAGCAUACUGUCUGCACAGCAGGCAGUACUUCAUACUUGAUAACUGUGUCCCAGAGAGGGUACAUCCAGCAGCUGCCCUCAUAGGUGGCAGCUUGGGUAAUGAAGGCAAAAAAAAAUUAUCACAGAAGAUUGCACGCAGUGGCAUUUGAACAUGGUUGUCUCACAGAUAACCGGGCAACUCUUUUGAAAAAACAUAAAGUUGCCUCAAAACCAACAUUUCAUUAAGCAUUAUUUAUUCAUGCUACGGUUUACUUCUUCCUUUCAGAUCAGUUUUGGCCAUGCAUUCAUUAUAUGUAUAAUCCUGCUUAAAUCUUUGAGGAGAUUCACAUGGAUAAAGUUAUGUAUAUGGUUCUGUAGUAACAGAGUCUAAAGAUAAAAUUACAUUAAAUCAC
This is a long non-coding RNA of Oxyura jamaicensis (ruddy duck), 1225 nucleotides long. RefSeq lists it as uncharacterized. The record is from RefSeq and is a predicted model, not a curated record. Lineage: Eukaryota; Metazoa; Chordata; Aves; Anseriformes; Anatidae. The transcript is spliced from 4 exons.